UUGCACGCUGGCGGCAUGCUUUACACCUGCCAGUCGCACGGCAGCGCGGGCUUCGGCCUGGCGGCGAGUGGCGAACGGGUGAGUAAUGCAUCGGAACGUGCCCAGUAGUGGGGGAUAGCCCGGCGAAAGCCGGAUUAAUACCGCAUACGACCUGAGGGUGAAAGCGGGGGACCGAAAGGCCUCGCGCUAUUGGAGCGGCCGAUGUCGGUUUAGCUAGUUGGUGGGGUAAAGGCUUACCAAGGCGACGAUCCGUAGCUGGUCUGAGAGGACGACCAGCCACACUGGGACUGAGACACGGCCCAGACUCCUACGGGAGGCAGCAGUGGGGAAUUUUGGACAAUGGGGGCAACCCUGAUCCAGCCAUGCCGCGUGCGGGAAGAAGGCCUUCGGGUUGUAAACCGCUUUUGUUCGGGAAGAAAUCCUCUGGGCUAAUACCCCGGGGGGAUGACGGUACCGGAAGAAUAAGCACCGGCUAACUACGU
RNAcentral lists this ribosomal RNA (482 nucleotides) under uncultured bacterium. RNAcentral describes it as "partial 16S ribosomal RNA". It matches the Rfam family "Bacterial small subunit ribosomal RNA", at positions 29 to 506 of the family's 1533-position model. The record is from RNAcentral.